Molecule: long non-coding RNA, 299 nt
Filed under: Helicoverpa zea (corn earworm)
Lineage: Eukaryota; Metazoa; Arthropoda; Insecta; Lepidoptera; Noctuidae
Description: uncharacterized LOC124639749, transcript variant X2
Source: RNAcentral
GGGAUUCUAGUCAUGCGUUAGGGUCUUGACUCAUGACAUCAAUAAGAAUGCUGAUAAUGUGUCACUAUCAGGUGCCUAUACUACAACUCUUCCCGAAGAAAGGCAGAAAGAGAGACACACUAAUGACCUUAGCGGUAGCUUACUACAAGCUGCAACUCACAGAAGAGCAACUAUUAUGAAUAUCUUUGUAUAUCAACAGUUCUUCAAACCAUACAGACAGAAUUGAGUUGCUGGGGAGUUUGUUCCACCGCUUCUGCUGCUGAUUUUCAGCCUAUUUUGAAUAAAUGACUUUAUCUGUA